GAGGAUGAGAACCUCCGGGAGCAAGAGGUUCGACCCGAGCGAAGCGAGAGAACGUUGCGUCAGCAACGGCCCGCAGGGCGAGCCACGCAGUGGCGAGUCAUCCUC
This 105-nucleotide small RNA is filed under the name Salmonella enterica subsp. enterica serovar Agama. RNAcentral describes it as "RtT sRNA". It matches the Rfam family "RtT RNA", at positions 18 to 118 of the family's 130-position model. From Rfam's summary of the family: This family represents a bacterial cis-regulatory element known as RtT RNA. The exact function of RtT is unknown although it is thought that it may be involved in changing the cellular response in relation to amino acid starvation. Lineage: Bacteria; Pseudomonadati; Pseudomonadota; Gammaproteobacteria; Enterobacterales; Enterobacteriaceae. The record is from RNAcentral.